Molecule: non-coding RNA, 71 nt
Organism: Parelaphostrongylus tenuis
Lineage: Eukaryota; Metazoa; Nematoda; Chromadorea; Rhabditida; Metastrongylidae
Source: the annotation of a GenBank genome assembly
GCCUCGGUGGUGUAGUGGUAGCAUACGCCCUUGGUAUGGGUGAAACUCGAGUUCAACCCCUGUCUGAGGUC